GACAGAGGGUGCAAACGUUGUUCGGAUUUACUGGGCGUAAAGCGCGUGUAGGCGGCUUUGCAAGUCGGAUGUGAAAGCCCACGGCUCAACCGUGGAAGUGCAUCCGAAACUGCAUGGCUGGAGUCUCGGAGAGGAAGGUGGAAUGCUUGGUGUAGAGGUGAAAUUCGUAGAUAUUGGGUGGAACACCGGUGGCGAAAGCGGCUCACUGGUCCGGUUCUGACGCUGAGGCGCGAAAGCGUGGGGAGCAAACAGG
Molecule: ribosomal RNA, 253 nt
Filed under: uncultured bacterium
Lineage: Bacteria
Description: partial 16S ribosomal RNA
Rfam family: Bacterial small subunit ribosomal RNA
Source: RNAcentral